Long non-coding RNA from Clupea harengus (Atlantic herring), 1124 nucleotides. NCBI's taxonomy places the organism in Eukaryota, Metazoa, Chordata, Actinopteri, Clupeiformes, Clupeidae. The record is from Ensembl.
CGAAGCACCCACUGCUGCCCCCGACGUAGCCUCUGUUGCUAGCAACCCCGAAGCAGCCUCUGUCGCUGCUGUCCCUGAAGCAGUCUCUGAAGAAAUUGCUGAUGGUGACGCCACUGAGGCCUACGCCACAGCAGAACCAGCCGCCGCAGAUCAAGCCGCCGCUCUCCCUGCAGACCGAGCCGUCGCUCACCCUGCAGACCCGGCCGUCGCUGACCCUGCAGACCCGGCCGUCGCUGACCCUGCAGAACCAGCCGCCGCAGAUCAAGCCGUCGCUCACCCUGCAGACCCGGCCGUCGCUGACCCUGCAGACCCGGCCGUCGCUGACCCUGCAGACCCAGCCGUCGCAGACCCAGCCGACGCUCACCCAGCUUGUGCGUACCCUACAGCCAGCGCUGCCGACCCGGACCCCGCAGCCACCGCUGCCGACCCGCACCCCGCAGCUGACCCGGACCCUGCUGCCACAGCUGCCAACCAAGAUCCUCCAGCAUCCGUUUCCGAUGCAGGCCCAGCAGCACCCUCUGCCGAGACCGGUCCAGCAGCACCUUCUGAUGGCGUCGCUGCUGAGGGCUCUGCUGUUCCAAGCGCCCCUGGCCGGAGUGCCCCUGUCCGGAGCGCCCCUGUCCGGAGCGCCCCUGUCCCGAGCGCCCCUGUCCCGAGCGCCCCUGUCCCGAGCGCCCCGGUCCCGAGCGUCCCAGGCGUCCCUGUCCCGAGCGUCCCAGGCUCUCCUGUCCCGAGCGUCCCAGGCGCCCCUGUCCCGAGCGCCCCAGGCUCCCCUGUCCCGAGCGUCCCAGGCUCCCCUGUCCCGAGCGUCCCAGGCUCCCCUGUCCCGAGCGCCUCAGGCGUUCCUGUCCAAGGUGUCCUUGCGCCGGUUCCAGGCGUCCAUGCGCCGGCCCCAGGCGCUCCGGACCCUGUCUCCAGUGUUCCUGGGUUCCUUGUCCCAGCUGCAGCAGACCCAGGGUUCGGUGCCGCCAGCCCUAAUGAACCAGCGAGUCCAGGUGCCACGUCUACCCCAGCCACUGGCCCUGCAACCCCAAACACCAAUCGAUAUCGCUGGCAUCUAUUUGUUGUGAGGGUUAUUGUUGUGUUUAUUGUUGGUCUGUUUGGCCGGUCGCCAAAGACUCUGC